CAAAGGCCCCAAAGGAAGCCACGGCUAACUCUGUGCCAGCAGCCGCGGUAAUACAGAGGUGGCAAGCGUUGUUCGGUAUUAUUGGGCGUAAAGAGCACGUAGGUGGUUCUGUAAGUCAGAUGUGAAAGCCUUCUGUUCAAAGGAGGAACGGCAUCUGAAACUACAGAUCUUGAGUGUAGGAGGGGAGAGUGGAACUUCUGGUGGAGCGGUGAAAUGCGUAGAUAUCAGAAGGAACGUCGGCGGCGAAAGCGACUCUCUGGCCUAUUACUGACACUGAGUGUGCGAAAGUUAGGGGAGCAAACGGGAUUAGAUACCCCGGUAGUCCUAACUGUAAA
Molecule: ribosomal RNA, 335 nt
Filed under: uncultured Planctomycetales bacterium
Lineage: Bacteria; Pseudomonadati; Planctomycetota; Planctomycetia; Planctomycetales
Description: bacterial SSU rRNA
Rfam family: Bacterial small subunit ribosomal RNA
Source: RNAcentral